UAGGGAAUCUUCCGCAAUGGACGCAAGUCUGACGGAGCAACGCCGCGUGAGUGAAGAAGGAUUUCGGUUCGUAAAACUCUGUUGUUAGAGAAGAACAGCGCAUAGAGUAACUGUUAUGCGUGUGACGGUAUCUAACCAGAAAGCCACGGCUAACUACGUGCCAGCAGCCGCGGUAAUACGUAGGUGGCAAGCGUUGUCCGGAUUUAUUGGGCGUAAAGCGAGCGCAGGCGGUCAAUUAAGUCUGAAGUUAAAGGCAGUGGCUCAACCAUUGUAGGCUUUGGAAACUGUUUAACUUGAGUGCAGAGGGGGAGAGUGGAAUUCCAUGUGUAGCGGUGAAAUGCGUAGAUAUAUGGAGGAACACCGGUGGCGAAAGCGGCUCUCUGGUCUGUAACUGACGCUGAGGCUCGAAAGCGUGGGGAGCGAACAGG
Molecule: ribosomal RNA, 428 nt
Filed under: Bacteroidota bacterium
Lineage: Bacteria; Pseudomonadati; Bacteroidota
Description: Bacteroidetes bacterium partial 16S ribosomal RNA
Rfam family: Bacterial small subunit ribosomal RNA
Source: RNAcentral